GGGAAGUCCGGAAGGGUGUGUGUGUUGAAACUGAGCGCUGCAGCAGGCAGAUGAGUCUACCAAAUGAGAGGAGACAGAGCAGCACGCGGGCACGCCAUGACAUCUUUUUAGGGAAAACCUGUAGAAGCCUUAAGACCCAGAUCAGUGAGCACCUCAGCCAUAUACAAACAGGCAUAACACUUGGCCUCCUGAGUGGUACAGCGGUCUAAGGUGCUGCAUCUCAGUGCUAGAGGUAUCAUUACAGUCGCUGGUUCAAUUCCAGACUCUAUCACAAACAGCCGUGAUUGGGAGUCCCAUAGGGCAGUGCACAAUUGUCCCAGUGUUGUUAGGGGUAGGCUGUCAUUGUAAAUAAUAAUUUGUACAUAACUGACUUGCCUAGUUAAAUAAAAAAUGAAACACAC
This is a long non-coding RNA of Oncorhynchus tshawytscha (Chinook salmon), 401 nucleotides long. NCBI's taxonomy places the organism in Eukaryota, Metazoa, Chordata, Actinopteri, Salmoniformes, Salmonidae. The record is from Ensembl.